Molecule: ribosomal RNA, 2923 nt
Filed under: Klebsiella pneumoniae
Lineage: Bacteria; Pseudomonadati; Pseudomonadota; Gammaproteobacteria; Enterobacterales; Enterobacteriaceae
Description: bacterial LSU rRNA
Rfam family: Bacterial large subunit ribosomal RNA
Source: RNAcentral
GGGUUGUGAGGUUAAGCGACUAAGCGUACACGGUGGAUGCCCUGGCAGUCAGAGGCGAUGAAGGACGUGCUAAUCUGCGAAAAGCGUCGGUAAGGUGAUAUGAACCGUUAUAACCGGCGAUGUCCGAAUGGGGAAACCCAGUGCAAUUCGUUGCACUAUCGUUAACUGAAUACAUAGGUUAACGAGGCGAACCGGGGGAACUGAAACAUCUAAGUACCCCGAGGAAAAGAAAUCAACCGAGAUUCCCCCAGUAGCGGCGAGCGAACGGGGAGCAGCCCAGAGUCUGAAUCAGCUUGUGUGUUAGUGGAACGGUCUGGAAAGUCCGACGGUACAGGGUGAUAGUCCCGUACACCAAAAUGCACAGGCUGUGAACUCGAAGAGUAGGGCGGGACACGUGGUAUCCUGUCUGAAUAUGGGGGGACCAUCCUCCAAGGCUAAAUACUCCUGACUGACCGAUAGUGAACCAGUACCGUGAGGGAAAGGCGAAAAGAACCCCGGCGAGGGGAGUGAAAAAGAACCUGAAACCGUGUACGUACAAGCAGUGGGAGCACCUUCGGGUGUGACUGCGUACCUUUUGUAUAAUGGGUCAGCGACUUAUAUUCUGUAGCAAGGUUAACCGUAUAGGGGAGCCGCAGGGAAACCGAGUCUUAACUGGGCGUUAAGUUGCAGGGUAUAGACCCGAAACCCGGUGAUCUAGCCAUGGGCAGGUUGAAGGUUGGGUAACACUAACUGGAGGACCGAACCGACUAAUGUUGAAAAAUUAGCGGAUGACUUGUGGCUGGGGGUGAAAGGCCAAUCAAACCGGGAGAUAGCUGGUUCUCCCCGAAAGCUAUUUAGGUAGCGCCUCGUGAAUUCAUCUUCGGGGGUAGAGCACUGUUUCGGCUAGGGGGUCAUCCCGACUUACCAACCCGAUGCAAACUACGAAUACCGAAGAAUGUUAUCACGGGAGACACACGGCGGGUGCUAACGUCCGUCGUGAAGAGGGAAACAACCCAGACCGCCAGCUAAGGUCCCAAAGUCAUGGUUAAGUGGGAAACGAUGUGGGAAGGCACAGACAGCCAGGAUGUUGGCUUAGAAGCAGCCAUCAUUUAAAGAAAGCGUAAUAGCUCACUGGUCGAGUCGGCCUGCGCGGAAGAUGUAACGGGGCUAAACCAUGCACCGAAGCUGCGGCAGCGACACUAUGUGUUGUUGGGUAGGGGAGCGUUCUGUAAGCCUGCGAAGGUGACCUGUGAGGGUUGCUGGAGGUAUCAGAAGUGCGAAUGCUGACAUAAGUAACGAUAAAGCGGGUGAAAAGCCCGCUCGCCGGAAGACCAAGGGUUCCUGUCCAACGUUAAUCGGGGCAGGGUGAGUCGACCCCUAAGGCGAGGCCGAAAGGCGUAGUCGAUGGGAAACAGGUUAAUAUUCCUGUACUUGGUGUUACUGCGAAGGGGGGACGGAGAAGGCUAUGUUAGCCGGGCGACGGUUGUCCCGGUUUAAGCAUGUAGGCUGAUUAUCCAGGCAAAUCCGGAUAAUCAAGGCUGAGGUGUGAUGACGAGGCACUACGGUGCUGAAGUAACAAAUGCCCUGCUUCCAGGAAAAGCCUCUAAGCAUCAGGUAACAUCAAAUCGUACCCCAAACCGACACAGGUGGUCAGGUAGAGAAUACCAAGGCGCUUGAGAGAACUCGGGUGAAGGAACUAGGCAAAAUGGUGCCGUAACUUCGGGAGAAGGCACGCUGGUGUGUAGGUGAAGUCCCUGCGGAUGGAGCUGAGACCAGUCGAAGAUACCAGCUGGCUGCAACUGUUUAUUAAAAACACAGCACUGUGCAAACACGAAAGUGGACGUAUACGGUGUGACGCCUGCCCGGUGCCGGAAGGUUAAUUGAUGGGGUUAUCCGUAAGGAGAAGCUCUUGAUCGAAGCCCCGGUAAACGGCGGCCGUAACUAUAACGGUCCUAAGGUAGCGAAAUUCCUUGUCGGGUAAGUUCCGACCUGCACGAAUGGCGUAAUGAUGGCCAGGCUGUCUCCACCCGAGACUCAGUGAAAUUGAACUCGCUGUGAAGAUGCAGUGUACCCGCGGCAAGACGGAAAGACCCCGUGAACCUUUACUAUAGCUUGACACUGAACAUUGAGCCUUGAUGUGUAGGAUAGGUGGGAGGCUUUGAAGCGUGGACGCCAGUCUGCGUGGAGCCAACCUUGAAAUACCACCCUUUAAUGUUUGAUGUUCUAACGUUGGCCCCUUACCGGGGUUGCGGACAGUGUCUGGUGGGUAGUUUGACUGGGGCGGUCUCCUCCCAAAGCGUAACGGAGGAGCACGAAGGUUAGCUAAUCCUGGUCGGACAUCAGGAGGUUAGUGCAAUGGCAUAAGCUAGCUUGACUGCGAGCGUGACGGCGCGAGCAGGUGCGAAAGCAGGUCAUAGUGAUCCGGUGGUUCUGAAUGGAAGGGCCAUCGCUCAACGGAUAAAAGGUACUCCGGGGAUAACAGGCUGAUACCGCCCAAGAGUUCAUAUCGACGGCGGUGUUUGGCACCUCGAUGUCGGCUCAUCACAUCCUGGGGCUGAAGUAGGUCCCAAGGGUAUGGCUGUUCGCCAUUUAAAGUGGUACGCGAGCUGGGUUUAGAACGUCGUGAGACAGUUCGGUCCCUAUCUGCCGUGGGCGCUGGAGAAUUGAGGGGGGCUGCUCCUAGUACGAGAGGACCGGAGUGGACGCAUCACUGGUGUUCGGGUUGUCAUGCCAAUGGCACUGCCCGGUAGCUAAAUGCGGAAGAGAUAAGUGCUGAAAGCAUCUAAGCACGAAACUUGCCCCGAGAUGAGUUCUCCCUGAGACUUUAAGUCUCCUGAAGGAACGUUAAAGACGAUGACGUUGAUAGGCCGGGUGUGUAAGCGCAGCGAUGCGUUGAGCUAACCGGUACUAAUGAACCGUGAGGCUUAACCUUACAACGCCGAAG